RNAcentral lists this ribosomal RNA (913 nucleotides) under uncultured marine archaeon. RNAcentral's name for it is "bacterial SSU rRNA". It matches the Rfam family "Archaeal small subunit ribosomal RNA", at positions 1 to 922 of the family's 1478-position model. The record is from RNAcentral.
UCCGGUUGAUCCCGCCGGACCUGACUGCUAUCGGAUUGAUACUAAGCCAUGCGAGUCAUUGUAGCAAUACAAGGCAUACGGCUCAGUAACGCGUAGUCAACCUAACCUAUGGACGGGAAUAACCUCGGGAAACUGAGAAUAAUGCCCGAUAGAACACUAUACCUGGAAUGGUUUGUGUUCCAAAUGAUUUAUCGCCAUAGGAUGGGACUGCGGCCUAUCAGUUUGUUGGUGAGGUAAUGGCCCACCAAGACUAUUACAGGUACGGGCUCUGAGAGGAGUAGCCCGGAGAUGGGUACUGAGACACGGACCCAGGCCCUAUGGGGCGCAGCAGGCGAGAAAACUUUGCAAUGUGCGAAAGCACGACAAGGUUAAUCCGAGUGAUUUGUGCUAAACGAAUCUUUUGUUAGUCCUAGAAACACUAACGAAUAAGGGGUGGGCAAGUUCUGGUGUCAGCCGCCGCGGUAAAACCAGCACCUCAAGUGGUCAGGAUGAUUAUUGGGCCUAAAGCAUCCGUAGCCGGCUCUGUAAGUUUUCGGUUAAAUCUGUACGCUUAACGUACAGGCUGCCGGGAAUACUGCAAAGCUAGGGAGUGGGAGAGGUAGACGGUACUCGGUAGGAAGUGGUAAAAUGCUUUGAUCUAUCGAUGACCACCUGUGGCGAAGGCGGUCUACCAGAACACGUCCGACGGUGAGGGAUGAAAGCUGGGGGAGCAAACCGGAUUAGAUACCCGGGUAGUCCCAGCUGUAAACUAUGCAAACUCAGUGAUGCAUUGGCUUGUGGCCAAUGCAGUGCUGCAGGGAAGCCGUUAAGUUUGCCGCCUGGGAAGUACGUACGCAAGUAUGAAACUUAAAGGAAUUGGCGGGGGAGCACCACAAGGGGUGAAGCCUGCGGUUCAAUUGGAGUCAACGCCGGA